CCUACGGGAGGCUGCAGUGGGGAAUAUUGGACAAUGGGGGCAACCCUGAUCCAGCCAUGCCGCGUGUGUGAAGAAGGCCCUCGGGUUGUAAAGCACUUUCAGUGAGGAAGAACGCCUGGUGGUUAAUACCCAUCAGGAAAGACAUCACUCACAGAAGAAGCACCGGCUAACUCCGUGCCAGCAGCCGCGGUAAUACGGAGGGUGCGAGCGUUAAUCGGAAUUACUGGGCGUAAAGCGCGCGUAGGUGGCUUGAUAAGCCGGUUGUGAAAACCCCGGGCUCAACCUGGGAACGGCAUCCGGAACUGUCAAGCUAGAGUGCAGGAGAGGAAGGUAGAAUUCCCGGUGUAGCGGUGAAAUGCGUAGAGAUCGGGAGGAAUACCAGUGGCGAAGGCGGCCUUCUGGACUGACACUGACACUGAGGUGCGAAAGCGUGGGUAGCAAACAGGAUUAGAUACCCGGGUAGUC
RNAcentral lists this ribosomal RNA (465 nucleotides) under Vreelandella stevensii. RNAcentral describes it as "partial 16S ribosomal RNA". It matches the Rfam family "Bacterial small subunit ribosomal RNA", at positions 338 to 795 of the family's 1533-position model. Lineage: Bacteria; Pseudomonadati; Pseudomonadota; Gammaproteobacteria; Oceanospirillales; Halomonadaceae. The record is from RNAcentral.